UACAGAGGUCUCAAGCGUUGUUCGGAUUCAUUGGGCGUAAAGGGUGUGUAGGUGGCGCGCUAAGUCGGGUGUGAAAUUUCGGAGCUUAACUCCGAAACUGCAUUCGAUACUGGCGUGCUUGAGGACUGGAGAGGAGACUGGAAUUUACGGUGUAGCAGUGAAAUGCGUAGAUAUCGUAAGGAAGACCAGUGGCGAAGGCGGGUCUCUGGACAGUUCCUGACACUGAGACACGAAGGCCAGGGGGAGCAAAACGGGGAUUAGAAA
Molecule: ribosomal RNA, 264 nt
Filed under: uncultured bacterium
Lineage: Bacteria
Description: partial 16S ribosomal RNA
Rfam family: Bacterial small subunit ribosomal RNA
Source: RNAcentral